GAGGACAGCAGCCACCGGGCGCCCCGAUCCCGCGCGAUGUCGGCGAAGUGGAGGGUACUGGGCAAGGCCGGCCAAAAAAAAAUGAUUAACUGAAACCAAAGUUAUAUAAAUCCCGGCUUUCUAACGGUAAAAUCCUUCCCUGGGAGAGCGUUAAGGCCAAAGGAUUGUUACAAUCCCUUUGUCGAGGACAGACAGACAGACCCAAGAUGGCUCAGGCGAGCCUGCUGGCGUGCGAGGGGCUCUCCGGCGUCUGCCUGGUGCCCACGGUGGCCAGCAAGAAGAUGAUGCCGAAGCAGAGCUCGAAGCAGGCGGAGGGCAGGGAACGGGGCAGCAGCCCCGACGUGCUGGCACUGCGUCAGGAUGGGGAGAAAUCCCGCAGCCGAAAGGAGGAGGAGACGGCGGAGGCGUCGCAGC
Meleagris gallopavo (turkey) is the source of this 414-nucleotide non-coding RNA. Lineage: Eukaryota; Metazoa; Chordata; Aves; Galliformes; Phasianidae. The record is from RefSeq and is a predicted model, not a curated record.